Molecule: long non-coding RNA, 440 nt
Organism: Bos taurus (domestic cattle)
Lineage: Eukaryota; Metazoa; Chordata; Mammalia; Artiodactyla; Bovidae
Source: Ensembl
AGCAGACCCAAUGAAAGGUGAAAGCUCUUUGGCUAGAAUGGCUCCUCAGAGUUGUUCUGAGUUGGGUUGAGAUGGCCAGGAUUGUAUACCCUUGUAUCAAUCAGUCAUUGGAUGUGGGCCACUUUGGGAAAGGACGUGAUCUUGGACAAGACAGUGUUCUGCUUCUAACAAUCCCUGAGUAGUGUGACAGCUAACGGCUGUCUGCUGACAGCAUUUUCAGAAUCAGAUGGCAGUGCUGUCACCCUCCAGUGAUCUUUCUCAGAGAUGGCUUUAAAUGUGGAAUCUCUGCUUGCUUGUAGCAAUCUGACUUAUUUAAAAGGAUAAGUGGAAGAGAGGACAUGAUAGCAUCUCCUUGUCCCUAGUGCUACACUCAAUAUGCCAGCAAAUUUGGAAAACUCAGCAGUGGCCACAGCACUGGAAAAGGUCAGUUUUCAUUCCAA